GGAGCUACCUGGCAGGGGAGAGACCAUGAUCAGAAGGUGGUUCUCCCAGGGCGAGGCUUGUCCCUUGCACUCCAGAUGUGCUGACUCCUGCCAUUUCCCCGGGGGAAGCGCGACUGAUCAUUUGUGGCAGUGGGGGACUGCGUUCGCGCUCUCCCCUG
Molecule: small nuclear RNA, 158 nt
Filed under: Myotis davidii
Lineage: Eukaryota; Metazoa; Chordata; Mammalia; Chiroptera; Vespertilionidae
Description: U1 spliceosomal RNA
Rfam family: U1 spliceosomal RNA
About the family: U1 is a small nuclear RNA (snRNA) component of the spliceosome (involved in pre-mRNA splicing).
Source: Rfam by way of RNAcentral